RNA transcript from Ailuropoda melanoleuca (giant panda), 5498 nucleotides. It is a transcript of the gene named HEAT repeat containing 3, with no coding region annotated. The record is from RefSeq and is a predicted model, not a curated record. NCBI's taxonomy places the organism in Eukaryota, Metazoa, Chordata, Mammalia, Carnivora, Ursidae. The transcript has 17 exons.
GUCAUUACGCCUGCGCACUCCCCGCGUCACCCCUCCUCCCCGCCGACACGCGGCGCGCCUGCGCAUUGCUUCCCCAUGUGGGCUCUGGCCGUCAGCGGGCCCGACUGAACAGUUGCACCGAGAUCCCCUCGUAACAGGACCCUGCCAGCAGCUCAGCAGCCUCCACUGUCCUGCUGUUGCCCUCCUCUCUCGGCCUUUCCCCCGCAGCGCACAUCGCCAUGGGCAAGAGCAGGACGAAGCGCUUCAAGCGACCUCAGUUCUCCCCUACGGGCGACUGUCAGGCCGAAGCGGCAGCGGCGAACGGGACUGAGGGAGAGGAGGACGACGGGCCGGCGGCGGAGCUACUAGAAAAGCUCCAGCACCCGAGCGCCGAGGUCCGCGAGUGCGCCUGCGCGGGGCUGGCCCGGCUGGUGCAGCAGCGGCCGGUGCUGCCCGGCCUGGCGCGUCGGGAUGCGGUGCGUCGUCUCGGGCCGUUGCUGCUCGACCCCAGCCUGGCGGUGAGGGAGACGGCGGCCGGCGCGCUGAGAAACCUCAGUGCUUGUGGAGGUUUUGAAGUUUGUGAUGACAUGGUAACUAAGGAUAUCAUGACUCCUCUGGUUGCACUGCUCAAAGAGUGUAGUGCUGGCCUGGAUUCAAAUGAGAUGUCUCCACAGGAAAAAAAAGAUCAGAACAGAAAUUCUGUUGAGAACAUAGCCAAUGAGGCCAUGAAUGUGCUGUGGAAUAUAUGUGAAUGCAGUAAUAGAGCAGUAACUAUAUUCAACAAAGAAGGGUGUUUGGAGAUUGUAUUAAAGUAUUUAAGUAGGUUUCCCACCAAUGUUGACCUGGCUAUUUCAGUAGCAUAUUGUUUGCAGACAGUGACCGAAGAUAACCCAGAGCUGCUGAAAUCUUUCAGUGCCCCAGCACUGCAUGUACUGGAAUCAGCAAUGCUUUCUCCUGUCAGUUCCAUGGAAUACAUUCUAUUAAAGACAUUGGUGGCAGGCACCAUUUGGAACCUAAAGGACAUUAUUCCGUCCAGGAGUCAGGCAGAAAUCAUAAAUGCCAUACUGAAGAUCUUGUCUGACGUUCUGGACCUGGACGCUGGUGAGACAGUAAUUCGAAUGCACGAGGCGGAAAAGCAGAGGUUAGAAGCUGCUGCAGAGACGGAGGACGUGCAGGAGAGCGCCAGCCGCGAUGAUCUGACGGAAGACGAUGAAAUGGAAGAGAUCCCGCACAAAAGAAAAGUCAGAAGGAAAACCUUCAUUUCAGAUUUGCUUCCACCCACUGACCAGGAACUGAGAGAGACCGUAGCAUUGUUGACGGCUCAGCAGACUGCUUUGGAAAUCAUCGUCAACAUGUGCUGUAGCGAAGAUCCCUCCGAUGAUGAGUGGGAAGAGCUUUCUAGCAGUGAUGAGAGCGAUGCAUUUAUGGAGAAUUCCUUCAGUGAGUGCGGUGGGCAGCUGCUGUCUCCCCUCUGCCUCUCCCAUGAGGUUCACACCGCUUUCACCAACUACCUCAUCCCUAAGAAGAUUUUUGAGAAAACUGCCUUUCCAAACAGUACUGCGGUUGACGUAUGUUCUAGGAGUCCCACUUGGAAAUCUUUGGUUAGAAAAAUGAACACCAUUCAGUGCAGAGCCCUCGUGUGUCUCCAGAGUCUUGUAUCCCUCCUGGAUGUGGACCAUCUCGGGGGACCUGCAGCCCUGCAGACACUUGCACAACACCUGUCCCAGCUGCUUUUUUCUCAGCCAGAUUUUGCUGAGCAUGUUGACUUUCUAGAAGCCAUAAGUAGUGCCUUGAGGGCCCUUUUGCAAACAAUGGCCUCCAAGAACAUUUCUCAGUGUAUGACUCCCGAUCAGCUGAUGACACUGUGCACAGCCGGCAUUCAUAGUAGUAAUACUGGGGUUAGAGUAAACGUUGUUAGUAUUCUAGGAAUCACGGGCAGCGUCCUCGCCAAAGAAGAUGGAACACUGGAAACUCUUAAGACCAUUGGGUGCUUUCUGCUUGAGGUUGCCACCAAAGAUCCCUCCCUCGUGGUGGCAGGAGAAGCCUUGGAUGCCCUCUUUGAUGUUUUUGCAGAUGGUAAAGAAGCUGAAAGGGCCUCAGUUCAGAUUAAAUUGUUAUCUGCUCUGAAAGAAUUCCAGCCAGUCUUCAAAAUGAAGAUACGGAAAGAAGGGAGAGGUAAAUACAGCCCAGAUCAGCUGUGCGUUCUCGACAAUGUGAAGAUGAAUUUGAGAAGGUUUGUCGCUUAUCAGGAAACUGUUGAGAAAAGACUGACUGCUUGAACCAUUGAAAGAGAGACCAGUUCUCGCCCAAGUGUUCAAUGCUGAAGAGUACUAAAGUAUUUCCUUGGAGUGGUCUCACAAGGUUGCAGUAAAGACGGUGGCCGUGGUUGCAGUCAACUGAAGUCUUGACCGGGGCUGGAAGAUUUCUUCCAAGGUGGCUUGCUCACAUGGCUGUUGGCAGGAGGCCUCCGUUCCUGACUCACUUCAUUCGUGAUCACAUUUAUUGAAGCUCCUGUGUGCUGGGCAUCCUGCUAGCUAUUGAGGACACCAAGGUAAGCAAAUAUGGUCCUUGUCUUAUAGAGCUUAGGGGCUAGUAGGAGACAGAAUCUAUGUAAAAUUACAAGUGACAAGUGUUACAAAGAGGGUACACGAAGCUAUGAGGCCACACUGGAGACCAGAAAAGACUUCUUGGAGAAGUGACAGAAGCAGUUAACUAGGGGAAGAAGCAGGGAGUAUUGUUUCCAGGAAGAGGGAGCUGCAUAUGCAAAGAUCCUGGGGCCAGAGAGAGUGAGAAAAGGAUGAGGGGCCAGUAGACGCUCCCGUGUAGUGGGUGUUCAUUGCAAGGUGUGACCAGUGAAGCAGGUGGGGGCCAGACUUACAGGGUUUUUUAAGAUGUUACAUCUUUAUCCUACAAGCGAUGGGAAAAUGAAGUCCCUCGAGUAUUUUUUUUUUUAAAUUUUAUUUAUUUAUUCGACAGAGAUAGAGACAGCCGGCGAGAGAGGGAACACAAGCAGGGGGAGUGGGAGAGGAAGAAGCAGGCUCAUAGCAGAGGAGCCUGAUGUGGGGCUCGAUCCCAGAACGCUGGGAUCACGCCCUGAGCCAAAGGCAGACGCUUAACCGCUGUGCCACCCAGGUGCACCCCCCCUCAAGUAUUUUUUAACAGAGAGGGAUAGCGAGGAGGGAUGAUAUGAUCAGACAAAAAUUUUGGAAACCUCUACUCUGGCUGCGAUGUGAAGAAAAGAUUAGAGGUGAGCCAGAGGAGAAGCAGGUGGACCAGCCAGGAGGUUACUGGGGUGGCUUGGGAGAUAGAUGGUGUUGGUUCUGAUCAGUGUGGUGUUGAUGAAGUAGAAAGAUACAACAGCAGGUGGUAAUGGAUUAGAUACAAGGGGGAAAACAGUGAGAUGGAGGGAAGCGUCAAGGGUGAGUCAGGUUUCUGGCUUACAUAACUUGUUGGAUGGUGUUACCAUUUACCAAAAUCGGAAACUCCAGAAGAGGAGCAGGCCUGGGGAAAACUGAUGAGUUUUUGAUUUGUUAAAUAUCAGAUAAGAUGUUUUUGAGUGCAAACAACAGAAAAUGUAGAUCCACUGUCUGAAAUUGUAAUGAGCUUACUAUCUCACAUAAAAUCCGGCGAGAGGGCUGGUUGAUUUAGCAGCUCAUUGGCAUCCUCAGAUAUCCAGUCUCUUCCCACAUUUUUGCUCUGCCUUCUUCAGCACACGGGUUAGCUCCCUUUUAUGGUUAGAAGACGUCUAGAGACAGUAGGGUCCAGAGCCAGAAAGGGGACUUUCUCCGCCUUGUCUCUUUCUAUCUCUCUCUUUUUUAAAAGAUUUAUUAUUUAUUUGAGAGAGAGAGAGAGAGAGAGAGAGCAUGAGUGGGGGGAGGGGCAGAGAGAGAGGGAGAAGCAGAUUCCCUGCUGAGCAGGGAGCCCCUCAUAUGGCUCGAUCCUAGAACCCUGGGAUCAUGACCUGAGCCAAAGGCAGAUGCUUAACUGACUGAGCCACCCAGGCGCCCUCCUUUUCUGUCUCUUUAGGGGCUGAACACCCAGAAGCAGAUCUCUCUGUAUCAGUCAGCGUGCUUAAUGUUAUAGCUAUAACAAACAGUCUUGAUUACCAAGUGGCUUAACAUAAUAAAAAUUUAUUUCCCACUCACAUCACAGUUCCAUGCAAGUUGGGUAGCUCUCUCUUGAAGAUCUAGGAUCCUUCUUUUACAUGCUUCCAUGAUAUUGGAGUCCAGUCCUUUUAGCCUUAUGGGUGAAUAGAAGAGAGUGACGCAAGGAUCUCACUUGAAAUUUUAGGGCCAAGCUCCAAAGUGGCCACUCUUAUUUCUGCCCACAUUCCAUUAGCCAAAACCAGUUCCCCACCGUGCCCUAACAGCAUAAGAGGCUGAGAAAUGUAGUCUUAGUCUGUGCCCCAAAACGGGAGCCGGAUUGGUCAACAUGCAGCCAGUCUGCUGUAUCCUCACAUUAUCAGCGGCCAGAAUUGGGCCAAAUACCUUACUUCUACCACUGAUAACGGGAAUGGAAUUACUGUGAUUGGCUUGUAUUAAUCAUAUCUGUGUGAGUCCAGAUUUUCCUCCUAUACUUCAAUCAUAACAACAUAUUGCAACAGAUUGAAUGCAGAAACAGUGAUGCUGGAGCCAUCUUUCAGCCCCAGAAGGGAGUUAACCACCCCCUUCAUUGGAUUUUUUUAUGAGAUAAAAAAGUCAUUAUGGUUUAAACCAGUUGAUUCACAUUUUCUGUUACUUGCACAGAAUGGAUGCGGAAACCGUAUGACCCUAUUAAUACAUGCAGAAAAAGCAUUUGACAAAAAUCUAACACUCUUAGCAAACUAGGAAUAGAAGGAGAUUUUUUCAACCUUUUAAAGAACGUCUACAAAAAACCUACAGCCAGCAUCGUACUUAACAGUGAAAGGCUGAAUUAUUUUUGCCUGAGAUCAGAAGCAUGGCAAGUAUUUUCACUCUGACUACUUUUAUCCAAUAUCAUAUUGGAAAUCCUAACCAGUGUAAUAAAGCAAAAAAAAGAAAAAAAAAAGUAAGACUAAAGGACGGAGUACCAGCAAGGAAGAAAUGAGACUGCCUUUGUUUGCAGUUGACACAUAUGUAGAAAGUCCUUCAAAGCAUACAAAAGGCUACUAGGAUUAGUAAAUUUAGCAAGAUCACAGGAUUCAGGAUCAAUAUACCAAAGUGAAUUAUAUUUCUAUAUAUUAGCAAGGAAGAAUCCAAAUAGAAAUUCAGAUAACCAUCGUAUUUAUGUUAGCAUUCAAAAAUGUAUAUAGGAAUCAGUUUAUGGGAGAUAGACAGUAUAGGGGUGCCUGGUGGCUUAGAUGGUUAAGUGGCUGGCUCUUGAUUUCUUGAUUUCAGCUCCGGUCAUGACCUCAGGGUCCUGGGAUUGGGCCCUCUCCCCCCGCCUCCGCUGCCUGGUCUUGGACUCCGUGCUCAACAGGGAGUCAGCUUCAAGGAUUCUUUCUCCCCCUCUGCCCCUCUCCCCAACUCUCUAAAAUAAAUAAAUACAUCUUAAAAAAAAAA